GAAGCUGGCGGAGCAGGAGGAUGGGCGAGCAGUCUGAAUGCCAGAAUGGAUAACCGUUUUGCUACAGCAUUUGUAAUUGCUUGUGUGCUUAGCCUCAUUUCCACCAUCUACAUGGCAGCCUCCAUUGGCACAGACUUCUGGUAUGAAUAUCGAAGUCCAGUUCAAGAAAAUUCCAGUGAUUUGAAUAAAAGCAUCUGGGAUGAAUUCAUUAGUGAUGAGGCAGAUGAAAAGACUUAUAAUGAUGCACUUUUUCGAUACAAUGGUACAGUGGGAUUGUGGAGACGGUGUAUCACCAUACCCAAAAACAUGCAUUGGUAUAGCCCACCAGAAAGGACAGAGUCAUUUGAUGUGGUCACAAAAUGUGUGAGUUUCACACUAACUGAGCAGUUCAUGGAGAAAUUUGUUGAUCCCGGAAACCACAAUAGCGGGAUUGAUCUACUUAGGACCUAUCUUUGGCGUUGCCAGUUCCUUUUACCUUUUGUGAGUUUAGGUUUGAUGUGCUUUGGGGCUUUGAUCGGACUUUGUGCUUGCAUUUGCCGAAGCUUAUAUCCCACCAUUGCCACGGGCAUUCUCCAUCUCCUUGCAGGUAGGUUUUGUCAUCAUACUUACCUUUAAGCUUCUUCCUGUCUCUUUAGGGACCAAAGAGUUACAAAUCUUAAAUGUUCAUGUAUUAACUGCCCUGUCACACUGCCUGAAAAGCUCUUUACUGUGCUUUUACCCAGCCAUGUUUUGUUUUGUUUUCUAAAUUUUCCCCCAAGGUCUGUGUACACUGGGCUCAGUAAGUUGUUAUGUUGCUGGAAUUGAACUACUCCACC
Molecule: small RNA, 815 nt
Filed under: Pongo abelii (Sumatran orangutan)
Lineage: Eukaryota; Metazoa; Chordata; Mammalia; Primates; Hominidae
Description: retained intron
Source: RNAcentral